GGUUAACGCUGGCGGCGUGCUUAACACAUGCAAGUCGAACGGUGAAGCCGGAGCUUGCUCUGGUGAAUUAGUGGCGAACGGGUGAGUAACACGUGAGUAACCUGCCCUUGACUCUGGGAUAACUGCGGGAAACUGUAGCUAAUACCGGAUACGACCCUCGGAGGCAUCUCCUGGGGGUGGAAAGAAUUUCGGUCAAGGAUGGACUCGCGGCCUAUCAGCUAGUUGGUGAGGUAAAGGCUCACCAAGGCGACGACGGGUAGCCGGCCUGAGAGGGUGACCGGCCACACUGGUACUGAGACACGGCCCAGACUCCUACGGGAGUCAGCAGUGGGGAAUAUUGCACAAUGGGCGCAAGCCUGAUGCAGCAACGCCGCGUGAGGGAUGACGGCCUUCGGGUUGUAAACCUCUUUUAGCAGGGAAGAAGCGAAAGUGACGGUACCUGCAGAAAAAGCACCGGCUAACUACGUGCCAGCCGCCGCUGUAA
Molecule: ribosomal RNA, 484 nt
Filed under: uncultured bacterium
Lineage: Bacteria
Description: partial 16S ribosomal RNA
Rfam family: Bacterial small subunit ribosomal RNA
Source: RNAcentral